GUAUCAAAUGAUGAUUAUGGAUGUCAAUUCUCACGACGGUCGUCUGAGAUUUUUCAGUGAUGAUAAACAUCCUUUUCUUCUGAUGAUU
Molecule: small nucleolar RNA, 88 nt
Organism: Cannabis sativa
Lineage: Eukaryota; Viridiplantae; Streptophyta; Magnoliopsida; Rosales; Cannabaceae
Product: small nucleolar RNA Z161/Z228
Exons: 1
Source: RefSeq, a predicted model, not a curated record